GGAUUCCCCUAGUAACGGCGAGUGAAGAGGGAUCAGCCCAGCACCGAAGCCUGUGGUUGUUUGACUACUAGGCAAUGUGGUGUUUAGGUUUGUUCUUGGCAUUACUGCCCUGCCCCAAGUCCAGCAAUGAGUACGGCUUACUGGUCUGGCCCAGAGAGGGUGAAAGGCCCGUGGGGGUAGGGAUCAUGUGUGUCAGUUUUGCUCUGAACUAACCUUGGAGUCGGGUUGUUUGUGAAUGCAGCCCAAAGUGGGUGGUAAACUCCAUCCAAGGCUAAAUACUAACACGAGUCCGAUAGCAAACAAGUACCGUGAGGGAAAGUUGAAAAGUACUUUGAAGAGAGAGUAAACAGUGCGUGAAACUGCUCAGAGGUAAACGGGUGGAGUUGAACUGCAAACCCUGGGGAUUCAGCUGGCGAGCAUGAUUUGCGCUCAGGCAUAUUGGCCAGCCUUCAGUGUCUGUCUAUUGGCAGAUGCCCUCCCUUUAUGGGUUGGCAUGUGUGGUACACUUAUCAUGUGUUGCACGCAUUGGAGGUGAGGGGUUGGCUUGUCAGUGCACUUUCUCAGGGUGUUCACCACGACCGUCACUGCUGUCUGUCUGCUUUGGUCAAACUGAUCAGGUCUGGUUUUACUGGGCUUGGUUGGGACGGCAGGUAGCUCAUUGGUUCAUUUAUGGACUAUGAGUUUAAUUAGCUGGCCAUUGUGGAUCUGUACAGUGUGUCGGAGAUAACGACUACGCAUACGUGCUUUGUCCUUCGGGCGAGGUUGAGUCCGGUCGGCUUGUUGCUAGCUUCGGUUGGUCUGUCGAUGGCUUGAUCUUGUUCAGUUGGCGGUUGCGUGUGUGUCUAGGUUUGGGCCUAUAGUCUGUGGUGUAGUGGUAGACGAUCCACCCGACCCGUCUUGAAACACGGACCAAGGAGUUUAACAUGUGCGCGAGUCAUUGGGCGUUACGAAACCCAAAGGCGCAGUGAAGGUAAAGGUUUGGCUU
This 985-nucleotide ribosomal RNA is filed under the name Spirorchiidae sp. 1 W702. Its description in RNAcentral is "eukaryotic LSU rRNA". It matches the Rfam family "Eukaryotic large subunit ribosomal RNA", at positions 72 to 739 of the family's 3401-position model. Lineage: Eukaryota; Metazoa; Platyhelminthes; Trematoda; Strigeidida; Spirorchiidae. The record is from RNAcentral.